CCCUUAGAUGUUCUGGGCUGCACGCGCGCUACACUGAAGCGUUCAACGAGUAUUCACCUUGCCCGGGAGGGUUGGGUAAUCUUUUGAAAACGCUUCGUGAUGGGGAUAGAUUAUUGCAAUUAUUAAUCUUCAACGAGGAAUUCCUAGUAAGCGCGAGUCAUCAGCUCGUGCUGAUUACGUCCCUGCCCUUUGUACACACCGCCCGUCGCUCCUACCGAUUGGGUGAUCCGGUGAAUAAUUCGGACUGCAGCACUGCUUGGUCUCCAGGCUUUGCAGCGGAAAGUUUAGUGAACCUUAUCACUUAGAGGAAGGAGAANUCGUANCA
This 325-nucleotide ribosomal RNA is filed under the name uncultured eukaryote. Its description in RNAcentral is "partial 18S ribosomal RNA". It matches the Rfam family "Eukaryotic small subunit ribosomal RNA", at positions 1470 to 1796 of the family's 1831-position model. The record is from RNAcentral.